CACCGCGGUUAUACGAGAGGCCCAAGUUAAUAGAUUACGGCGCAAAGCGUGGUUAGAAAGGAACCCCCCCCCCCCCCAAAAAAAAAUAAAGUCGAAUGCCUUUCAGGCCGUAAUACGCGUAUAAAGGUACGAAGCUCUCCUACGAAAGUGACUUUACCCCUUUGACUCCACGGAAGCUUAGGCA
This 184-nucleotide ribosomal RNA is filed under the name Chilara taylori (spotted cusk-eel). Its description in RNAcentral is "partial 12S rRNA". Lineage: Eukaryota; Metazoa; Chordata; Actinopteri; Ophidiiformes; Ophidiidae. The record is from RNAcentral.